GAUGAACGCUAGCUACAGGCUUAACACAUGCAAGUCGUGGGGCAUCAUGAUGUAGUAAUACAUUGAUGGCGACCGGCGCACGGGUGAGUAACGCGUAUCCAACCUACCCUCCACUCAAGUAUAGGCUUCCGAAAGGGAGAUUAAUCCUUGAUAUCGUCAUUCUCUCUCCUGUUAGAAUGAUAAAAGGACAUCGUUUCGGUAGAGGAUGGGGAUGCGUUCCAUUAGGUAGUAGGUGGUUUAACAGGCCACCUAGCCGAUGAUGGAUAGGGGUUCUGAGAGGAAUAUCCCCCACACUGGUACUGAGAUACGGACCAGACUCCUACGGGAGGCAGCAGUGAGGAAUAUUGGUCAAUGGGCGCAAGCCUGAACCAGCCAUGUAGCGUGAAGGAUGACGGUUUUUUUGAUUGUAAACUUCUUUUCUGUGC
Molecule: ribosomal RNA, 425 nt
Filed under: Bacteroidetes bacterium oral taxon 272
Lineage: Bacteria; Pseudomonadati; Bacteroidota
Description: bacterial SSU rRNA
Rfam family: Bacterial small subunit ribosomal RNA
Source: RNAcentral